AUUGAACGCUGGCGGCAGGCCUAACACAUGCAAGUCGAGCGGAUGAAGGGAGCUUGCUCCUGGAUUCAGCGGCGGACGGGUGGGUAAUGCCUAGGAAUCUGCCUGGUAGUGGGGGAUAACGUCCGGAAACGGGCGCUAAUACCGCAUACGUCCUGAGGGAGAAAGUGGGGGAUCUUCGGACCUCACGCUAUCAGAUGAGCCUAGGUCGGAUUAGCUAGUUGGUGGGGUAAAGGCCUACCAAGGCGACGAUCCGUAACUGGUCUGAGAGGAUGAUUAGUCACACUGGAACUGAGACACGGUCCAGACUCCUACGGGAGGCAGCAGUGGGGAAUAUUGGACAAUGGGCGAAAGCCUGAUCCAGCCAUGCCGCGUGUGUGAAGAAGGUCUUCGGAUUGUAAAGCACUUUAAGUUGGGAGGAAGGGCAGUAAGUUAAUACCUUGCUGUUUUGACGUUACCAACAGAAUAAGCACCGGCUAACUUCGUG
RNAcentral lists this ribosomal RNA (484 nucleotides) under uncultured bacterium. Its description in RNAcentral is "partial 16S ribosomal RNA". It matches the Rfam family "Bacterial small subunit ribosomal RNA", at positions 30 to 507 of the family's 1533-position model. The record is from RNAcentral.